This 597-nucleotide ribosomal RNA is filed under the name uncultured bacterium. RNAcentral's name for it is "bacterial SSU rRNA". It matches the Rfam family "Bacterial small subunit ribosomal RNA", at positions 112 to 704 of the family's 1533-position model. The record is from RNAcentral.
AAUACUUAGGAAUCUGCCCAUUAAUGGGGGACAACAGUUGGAAACGACUGCUAAUACCGCAUACGCCCUACGGGGGAAAGCAGGGGAUCUUCGGACCUUGCGUUAAUGGAUGAGCCUAAGUCGGAUUAGCUAGUUGGUGGGGUAAAGGCCUACCAAGGCGACGAUCUGUAGCGGGUCUGAGAGGAUGAUCCGCCACACUGGGACUGAGACACGGCCCAGACUCCUACGGGAGGCAGCAGUGGGGAAUAUUGGACAAUGGGGGGAACCCUGAUCCAGCCAUGCCGCGUGUGUGAAGAAGGCCUUUUGGUUGUAAAGCACUUUAAGCGAGGAGGAGGCUACUAGUAUUAAUACUACUGGAUAGUGGACGUUACUCGCAGAAUAAGCACCGGCUAACUCUGUGCCAGCAGCCGCGGUAAUACAGAGGGUGCGAGCGUUAAUCGGAUUUACUGGGCGUAAAGCGCGCGUAGGUGGUUCAGCAAGUUGGAUGUGAAAGCCCCGGGCUCAACCUGGGAACUGCAUCCAAAACUACUGGGCUAGAGUACGGUAGAGGGUGGUGGAAUUUCCUGUGUAGCGGUGAAAUGCGUAGAUAUAGGAAGG